Long non-coding RNA from Drosophila innubila, 655 nucleotides. RefSeq lists it as uncharacterized. The transcript is spliced from 3 exons. NCBI's taxonomy places the organism in Eukaryota, Metazoa, Arthropoda, Insecta, Diptera, Drosophilidae. The record is from RefSeq and is a predicted model, not a curated record.
GGCAGAAGCUCUCAGAGUUCAGUCUGAAUAUUCGUCUCAAACAAGCAACAGCUUCCAAAAUUUCCAGUAUAGUAAAAAUAGGAAAAAAAAUUUGAAUACGCGAAAUAAAUAGAAAACGAAUUUCGGAAUUGGAGAGAAACGUAAAACAAUUGAAAUUUAAAAUACUUUGGACCGCCAAAAACGAAUCAACUAAAAGACACAAAACGAAGCGGAAACUCUUAAUACACUUUUUGGAUAUAUGCCGAUUCCAGGAAUUUUAGAAGAAUCGAGUAUAAAAAACACGAAACAGUUGCGCAGCUACAGUCUGAAUCUCAAAUACACACCCUAUAUAAACCUUAAACUAUAAGCAAGAAACUAUAUACUUUAAUGUAUAAAGCCUGAAGCAAAGGAAUCAUCCACACAUCACACUGCUUACAGACGCCUAUCGAGUUGGUUAAUCACAACGAUUUCAAGCCUACGGUACCGAGCCGCCCCCCUUUCCGAGUCCCCCCCCUCCCCCCUCAUGGUUACUUGUUCCACGUUCGCCAAUUCCCAAUUCCCAAUUCCCGACUCGGACGGCCCGAGGGAUUCGCGUUCUUGAAAUCGUUAAUUGAGUUCUACACUUGUCAAUUGCUACACUUGUCAAUCGUUUGAAAUAUAUGCUUAACAUCAGAUA